This 457-nucleotide ribosomal RNA is filed under the name uncultured bacterium. RNAcentral describes it as "partial 16S ribosomal RNA". It matches the Rfam family "Bacterial small subunit ribosomal RNA", at positions 338 to 795 of the family's 1533-position model. The record is from RNAcentral.
CCUACGGGUGGCUGCAGUGGGGAAUAUUGCACAAUGGGGGAAACCCUGAUGCAGCGACGCCGCGUGCGUGAAGAAGUAUUUCGGUAUGUAAAGCUCUAUCAGCAGGGAAGUAAUCAAGUCCUUUGGACUUUGGACGCUACCUGCCUAUGAAGCCCCGGCUAACUACGUGCCAGCAGCCGCCGUAAUACGUAGGGGGCAAGCGUUAUCCGGAUUUACUGGGUGUAAAGGGAGCGUAGACGGCAGCGCAAGUCUGGAGUGAAAUGCCAUGGCUUAACCAUGGAACUGCUUUGGAAACUGGGCAGCUAGAGUGCAGGAGAGGUAAGCGGAAUUCCUAGUGUAGCGGUGAAAUGCGUAGAUAUUAGGAGGAACACCAGUGGCGAAGGCGGCUUACUGGACUGUAACUGACGUUGAGGCUCGAAAGCGUGGGGAGCAAACAGGAUUAGAUACCCCAGUAGUC